UUAUCCUCACACAAGAGAAUAUCAAUCAACCAUUAUUGGAUGAACACAUUCUUUACCCUCAGUUGUCAUAGAGAAAAAUUGCUCUUCCAAUCAUAUCAGUUGAUCUCUAUCUUAAUUGAGCCUAUCUUCUCUAUCUUCUUUAAUUUUGAUCAACACUGUUACAAUCUGGACAAUCAUAUGCUCUAAUACCACUUGUUGGGAGGAUCUCUCUCAAGAGUGUGAAAUACGGAUGCCCCACCCA
RNAcentral lists this long non-coding RNA (241 nucleotides) under Elaeis guineensis (African oil palm). RNAcentral's name for it is "long non-coding RNA (EGUI_LNC062514)". Lineage: Eukaryota; Viridiplantae; Streptophyta; Magnoliopsida; Arecales; Arecaceae. The record is from RNAcentral.